GGGCUGUUCGCCCAUUAAAGCGGUACGCGAGCUGGGUUUAGAACGUCGUGAGACAGUUCGGUCCCUAUCCGCUGUGCGCGUAGGAAACUUGAGAAGAGCUGUCCCUAGUACGAGAGGACCGGGAUGGACGAACCUCUGGUGUGUCAGUUGUUCUGCCAAGAGCACGGCUGAUUAGCUACGUUCGGAAGUGAUAACCGCUGAAAGCAUCUAAGCGGGAAGCACGCUUCAAGAUGAGGUUUCCAUGGGCUUCGGCCCGAGAGGCUCCCAGCUAGACUACUGGGUUGAUAGGCCAGACGUGGAAGCACAGUAAUGUGUGUAGCUGACUGGUACUAAUAAGCCGAUAACUUGACACAACAAAG
RNAcentral lists this ribosomal RNA (359 nucleotides) under Salmonella enterica. Its description in RNAcentral is "partial 23S ribosomal RNA". It matches the Rfam family "Bacterial large subunit ribosomal RNA", at positions 2574 to 2925 of the family's 2925-position model. Lineage: Bacteria; Pseudomonadati; Pseudomonadota; Gammaproteobacteria; Enterobacterales; Enterobacteriaceae. The record is from RNAcentral.